RNAcentral lists this ribosomal RNA (441 nucleotides) under uncultured soil bacterium. RNAcentral describes it as "bacterial SSU rRNA". It matches the Rfam family "Bacterial small subunit ribosomal RNA", at positions 26 to 518 of the family's 1533-position model. The record is from RNAcentral.
AGAACGAACGCUGGCGGCAUGCCUAACACAUGCAAGUCGAACGAGACCUUCGGGUCUAGUGGCGCACGGGUGCGUAACGCGUGGGAAUCUGCCCUUGGGUUCGGAAUAACAGUUGGAAACGACUGCUAAUACCGGAUGAUGUCUUCGGACCAAAGGUUUAUCGCCCAGGGAUGAGCCCGCGUAGGAUUAGCUUGUUGGUGAGGUAAAGGCUCACCAAGGCGACGAUCCUUAGCUGGUCUGAGAGGAUGAUCAGCCACACUGGGACUGAGACACGGCCCAGACUCCUACGGGAGGCAGCAGUGGGGAAUAUUGGACAAUGGGCAAAGCCUGAUCCAGCAAUGCCGCGUGAGUGAUGAAGGCCUUAGGUUGAAAGCUCUUUACCCGGGAUGAUAAUGACAGUACCGGAGAAUAAGCUCCGGCUAACUCCGUGCCAGCAGCCGC